GACGAACGCUGGCGGCGUGCUUAACACAUGCAAGUCGAACGGAAAGGCACUGCUUUUGUGGGGUGCUCGAGUGGCGAACGGGUGCGUAACACGUGAGUAACCUGCCCUUGACUUUGGGAUAACUUCAGGAAACUGGGGCUAAUACCGGAUAGGAGCUCCUGCUGCAUGGUGGGGGUUGGAAAGUUUCGGCGGUUGGGGAUGGACUCGCGGCUUAUCAGCUUGUUGGUGGGGUAGUGGCUUACCAAGGCUUUGACGGGUAGCCGGCCUGAGAGGGUGACCGGCCACAUGGGGACUGAGGUACGGCCCAGACGCCUACGGGAGGCAGCAGUGGGGAAUAUUGCACAAUGGGCGGAAGCCUGAUGCAGCAACGCCGCGUGCGGGAUGACGGCCUUCGGGUUGUAAACCGCUGUCGCCUGUGACGAAGCGGGAGUGACGGUAAUGGGUAAAGAAGCACCGGCUAACUACGUG
Molecule: ribosomal RNA, 468 nt
Filed under: uncultured bacterium
Lineage: Bacteria
Description: partial 16S ribosomal RNA
Rfam family: Bacterial small subunit ribosomal RNA
Source: RNAcentral